This is a non-coding RNA of Gossypium hirsutum (cotton), 107 nucleotides long. NCBI's taxonomy places the organism in Eukaryota, Viridiplantae, Streptophyta, Magnoliopsida, Malvales, Malvaceae. The record is from Rfam.
AAUCCAUGCAUCGAACACUUUCGAAUUAAGUCUUUAAAUCACUCCCAAGCUUCAUAUAGUGUUUCAUCCUCCAACUAUUGAAAAGGUGUGAUCUCAUUUCUAAGCUU